Molecule: ribosomal RNA, 502 nt
Filed under: uncultured bacterium
Lineage: Bacteria
Description: partial 16S ribosomal RNA
Rfam family: Bacterial small subunit ribosomal RNA
Source: RNAcentral
GACGAACGCUGGCGGCGUGCUUAACACAUGCAAGUCGAACGGUGAAGCGCUUUCCUUUUUGGUUGGUGUGGAUGAGUGGCGAACGGGUGAGUAACACGUGAGUAACCUGCCCCCUUCUUCUGGAUAACCGCAUGAAAGUGUGGCUAAUACGGGAUAUUCUGCGCCUGCUGCAUGGUGGGUGUGGGAAAGAUUGUGCCUUCGGGUGUUUUCGGUGGGGGAUGGGCUCGCGGCCUAUCAGCUUGUUGGUGGGGUGAUGGCCUACCAAGGCGGUGACGGUAGCCGGCCUGAGAGGGUGGACGGUCACACUGGGACUGAGACACGGCCCAGACUCCUACGGGAGGCAGCAGUGGGGAAUAUUGCACAAUGGGCGCAAGCCUGAUGCAGCGACGCCGCGUGAGGGAUGGAGGCCUUCGGGGUGUGAACCUCUUUCGCCAGUGAAGCAGGCCUGCUCCUUGUGGGUGGGUUGACGGUAGCUGGAUAAGAAGCGCCGGCUAACUACGUG